Molecule: ribosomal RNA, 446 nt
Filed under: uncultured bacterium
Lineage: Bacteria
Description: bacterial SSU rRNA
Rfam family: Bacterial small subunit ribosomal RNA
Source: RNAcentral
GUCCAGACUCCUACGGGAGGCAGCAGUGGGGAAUAUUGCACAAUGGGGGAAACCCUGAUGCAGCGACGCCGCGUGAGCGAUGAAGUAUUUCGGUAUGUAAAGCUCUCUCAGCAGGGAAGAAGAUGACGGUACCUGACUAAGAAGCCCCGGCUAACUACGUGCCAGCAGCCGCGGUAAUACGUAGGGGGCAAGCGUUAUCCGGAUUUACUGGGUGUAAAGGGAGCGUAGACGGCGAUGCAAGCCAGAUGUGAAAGCCCGGGGCUCAACCCCGGGACUGCAUUUGGAACUGUGUGGCUGGAGUGUCGGAGAGGCAGGCGGAAUUCCUAGUGUAGCGGUGAAAUGCGUAGAUAUUAGGAGGAACACCAGUGGCGAAGGCGGCCUGCUGGACGAUGACUGACGUUGAGGCCCGAAAGCGUGGGGAGCAAACAGGAUUAGAUACCCUGGUA